RNAcentral lists this ribosomal RNA (254 nucleotides) under uncultured bacterium. RNAcentral describes it as "partial 16S ribosomal RNA". It matches the Rfam family "Bacterial small subunit ribosomal RNA", at positions 524 to 776 of the family's 1533-position model. The record is from RNAcentral.
UACGUAGGCAGCGAGCGUUGUUCGGGGUUACUGGGCGUAAAGGGUGUGUAGGCGGUUGUUUAAGUUUGGUGUGAAAUCUCCCGGCUCAACUGGGAGGGUGCGCCGAAUACUGAAUGACUUGGAGUGCGGGAGAGGAAAGUGGAAUUCCUGGUGUAGCGGUGAAAUGCGCAGAUAUCAGGAGGAACACCGGUGGCGAAGGCGGGACUCUGGGCCGAUACUGACGCUGAGGAGCGAAAGCGUGGGGAGCAAACAGG